AACGAACGCUGGCGGCAUGCCUAACACAUGCAAGUCGAACGAGACCUUCGGGUCUAGUGGCGCACGGGUGCGUAACGCGUGGGAACCUGCCCUUAGGUUCGGAAUAACUCCCCGAAAGGGGUGCUAAUACCGGCUAAUGUCUUCGGACCAAAGAUUUAUCGCCUUUGGAUGGGCCCGCGUUGGAUUAGCUAGUUGGUAGGGUAAAAGCCUACCAAGGCGACGAUCCAUAGCUGGUCUGAGAGGAUGAUCAGCCACACUGGGACUGAGACAGGGCCCAGACUCCUCCAGGAGGCAGCAGUGGGGAAUAUUGGACAAUGGGCGAAAGCCUGAUCCAGCAAUGCCGUGUGAAUGAUGAAGGCCUGAGGGUUGUAAAGCUCUUUUACCCGGGAUGAUAAUGACAGUACCGGGAGAAUAAGCGCCGGCUAACUCCGUG
RNAcentral lists this ribosomal RNA (433 nucleotides) under uncultured bacterium. RNAcentral's name for it is "partial 16S ribosomal RNA". It matches the Rfam family "Bacterial small subunit ribosomal RNA", at positions 29 to 507 of the family's 1533-position model. The record is from RNAcentral.